AUAUGCAAGCUCCUGGAAUGCCUGUGGUUUCUCCAGCACCUGGGUCCUGCUGGCAACCAGCAGCACCCAGUGGCCAGCAGCGUACUCUUUCACCUCUUCUUGGGUGACUUUGUGGAAUGCUCCAAUGUGACAUCUCCCUGUGAACGCCUUUCCUGACACCCUAAAAAGUGUCAGGAAUUUCCAGCAAGUUCCAGAGAGCAGGUUUCCAGCAAGUUUGGUCAGUAUGACACCACAGCGAUAUCUCUGCCAUUCACUGAACUUGGAUUCUUCCUUCUUCAGUGAGAGAUGUUCAAGAAAAAGAACAACUUCAGUGGAAGAAGAAGAAGAUAGGAGCCCAGGUCCUGUGUUUCACCAAGACAGCCGUGCAAAGCAGAUGCUGCCAAAAAGGUGCAAAGUGGUUUGUCAGCUCUUCUGCAUGUUCUAACAAAUUAGACAUGCAUCCCAAAAGGUUUCCUAGACUUUCCAUCACCACCAGUGAAUUCUGAGUGACAAUAGUGUGGAAUUUGGAAGAAUGGAAGAGAAACUGAAGUGGAGAGAUGGUGAAAGAGAAGAAAAAAUGAAGAAAGAUGCUUGCAAAAAUACUGCUGUGGGUCCUGAGAUGAGGAUUCUGGGAGGGCUGAAAUGGAUGCCCCUGACAGCUCCCUUUGAGUUCCUGUUCAUCUGAAGUACACCAGCUUUCUAGAUAUGCUGUCACUUUCCUUCUGCAGAGCCACAGUGGUGUCCUGUCUUCUCAGACCUCUUCUCACCUCAAAUCACUUAGGACUCGGCCACCAGACAGAUUUGGGAUUUCAGAACUUUUCAGAUGUUAGAAAGUUCUUUUCUAAAUGUGAUGAGGAAUUACGGAAUCAUAAAAUGGAAGCAGAGUUAAACUCAGACAUGUGGGCACUCAAGGCAAUUAGGAGCUUUCUGCGAUGAGAAAGGGAUCAGACUGAUCCUUAAGACUUUAUGCAACCCCAGAGUAUUGCAGCCACCUGCAUGCCGAAGGUGUCAAGAGUGUUCUCACUGCUGCCUAUAGGAGGGUCUUCAGCCUCCAGUGAUCCAAAGUACCAGGCUGACCUGUGACUGCUUCGGCCAACUGAAUAGGGAAGAGUGAUGCUGUGCUGUUUCCAGGCCUGUUCUUUAAAAGUACUUGGAAGCUUCUGCCUUGGCCUCUUUGUGCCUGAGUUGCUGUAUAAGAAUCUGACUACCUUGCUGGAGAGACCUUGUGGAGAAGACUUGACCUUAUAUGCAGAGGUAGAGGGGCCCUGGUUAGUCCAGCCAUCUAGCCAUCCUGUCAAAAUAGCAGGAGUAUGAUGGCCAAUGGAUCCAAAACCUAUCCUAUAUCUACAUGUUGGUGGCCACAUUAAUCUGACAUCUGACAGCAAGAGCGAUGAUUGGGUUCACUGGAAAUCUUUGUGAAGUACGAGUGAAGUCCUUGUGAAGUCAGAGUUUCCUCUUCAUGCCUCUACUCCUAUGCAGUUUGACCUCUCAGUGUGCAGCUGGUGAUAGAUGGAAACCCUUGUUCAUAAGCUUUGUGGCACUGUCGGCAGGAUGAGGGGACUUCUGGAUCCUCACUGGUCACUGUGGCAGAGUGGUUGGUGUUGUCUGCUCCCUAGACAGGAACCCACUGAAGAAUCUGACAUUUUUUGAUAUGCUGGCAUUCAUUGUUACAGCCCAUCAUCCCAGCCAUCAAUCCAGGACAUGGGGUCUGUGCCCACGGUGGGAAGGAGGAGGGGGAAGCUGGCUUUGUUCUGACGUUGGGCUUCUUCUGCUCCACCAGUACUUUCUGUGGGGGAAAUAGGUAAAGAAAUGGCUGUUCAGAUGAGAAGAUGUGUCAGUAAACUUUUGCUACAGUGAUGCUGCAAAACAAAUCACUGGUGACUUUCAGUGGCACACAGCAAUAAACAUUUAUUUAGCUCAGGGAUUGACAAUCUUUUUUUUUUUUUAAAGGGCCAAAUAGUAAAUAUUUUAGGUGUUUCAGGCCAUACAGUCUCUGAACUCUGAACUUGUAGCACAACAGUAGCCUUAGAUGCUAUGCAAAUGGAGGAGCAUGACUGUGUUCCAAUAAAACUUUAUUUAUGGACACUAA
This 2068-nucleotide long non-coding RNA is filed under the name Homo sapiens (human). RNAcentral's name for it is "non-protein coding lnc-LARP1B-1:11". The record is from RNAcentral. Lineage: Eukaryota; Metazoa; Chordata; Mammalia; Primates; Hominidae.